This 384-nucleotide ribosomal RNA is filed under the name Bradyrhizobium sp. 05LoS22R6_28. RNAcentral's name for it is "bacterial LSU rRNA". It matches the Rfam family "Bacterial large subunit ribosomal RNA", at positions 1 to 270 of the family's 2925-position model. The record is from RNAcentral. Lineage: Bacteria; Pseudomonadati; Pseudomonadota; Alphaproteobacteria; Hyphomicrobiales; Nitrobacteraceae.
AAUCAAGUGCCUUAAGGGUGUUCGGUGGAUGCCUUGGCGCUGAGAGGCGAUGAAGGACGUGCUACGCUGCGAUAAGCCGUGGGGAGCUGCGAAGAAGCUUUGAUCCAUGGAUUUCCGAAUGGGGAAACCCACCUUCGAUAGCCGGAACUCCAAGACCUUUGUCGAAAGACAUUGGUGUGGGGUUCGAUCAGAAAUGAGAGAUGCCUAGGCCUUUAGAUUUCGAUCGAAGAGGUUUUGGAUUUCCGGUUAUCAAGAGAAGGUAUGAGACUUCUGAAUACAUAGGAGGUUUCAAGCAAACCCAGGGAACUGAAACAUCUAAGUACCUGGAGGAAAGGACAUCAACAGAGACUCCGUUAGUAGUGGCGAGCGAACGCGGACCAGGCC